Oncorhynchus keta (chum salmon) is the source of this 1505-nucleotide long non-coding RNA. RefSeq lists it as uncharacterized. NCBI's taxonomy places the organism in Eukaryota, Metazoa, Chordata, Actinopteri, Salmoniformes, Salmonidae. The record is from RefSeq and is a predicted model, not a curated record. The transcript has 3 exons.
AAAUGUUCCUACCUCGUCUCGUCUUAACACGAAGGCUCAGCAUUCCCCAACAGUCCCAUUACAAGUCAGAAUAGGUUAAUCAGCAAGCGUGGUGGAAUUGGCUUGGUGUGUCAUGCCCAUAGGCUGAAGUGAAUAGUUGAAUGACAUUCCCCACGCUUGACAAUAGUAAAGGAGGAAGAGACGUUAUGGUGAUGAGGUAACAAUGUAAACAUUACCAUAGUAAUAUCUGCUAUGUGAGAUGGUAGAGACGUGAUGAGGUAACAAUGUAAACAUUACCAUAGUAAUAUCUGCUAUGUGAGAUGGUAGAGACGUGAUGAGGUAACAAUGUAAACAUUACCAUAGUAAUAUCUGCUAUGUGAGAUGGUAGAGACGUGAUGAGGUAACAAUGUAAACAUUACCAUAGUAAUAUCUGCUAUGUGAGAUGGUAGAGACGUGAUGAGGUAACAAUGUAAACAUUACCAUAGUAAUAUCUGUUAUGUGAGAUGGUAGAGACGUGAUGAGGUAACAAUGUAAACAUUACCAUAGUAAUAUCUGCUAUGUGAGAUGGUAGAGACGUGAUGAGGUAACAAUGUAAACAUUACCAUAGUAAUAUCUGUUAUGUGAGAUGGUAGAGACGUGAUGAGGUAACAAUGUAAACAUUACCAUAGUAAUAUCUGUUAUGUGAGAUGGUAGAGACGUGAUGAGGUAACAAUGUAAACAUUACCAUAGUAAUAUCUGUUAUGUGAGAUGGUAGAGACGUGAUGAGGUAACAAUGUAAACAUUACCAUAGUAAUAUCUGUUAUGUGAGAUAAAAAGCGAUGUGAAUUAUAUUUUAUAUUACUGGAUGAAUUUAAGUGACAAGCCAUUCAGACGAUCCUGAUUGAUCGUAAACUACAUUAUACUGACAUUUAUUUAAAACUGUAUUUUAUUAUUUCACCUUUAUUUAACCAGGUAGGCAAAGUGAGAACAAGUUCUCAUUUACAACUGCGACCUGGCCAAGAUAAAGCAAAGCAGUGUGAAAAAAACAACACAGAGUUACACAUCGGAUAAACAAACGUACAGUCAAUAACACAAUAGAAAAGAAAAAUCUAUGUACAGUGUGUGUAAAUGUAGAAGAGUAGGGAGGUAAGGCAAUAAAGCCAUAGCUAAAUAAUUACAAUUUAACAUUAACACUGGAGUGAUAGAUGUGCAGAUGAUGAUGUGCAAGUAGAGAUACUGGGGUGCAAACGAACAAGAGGGUAAGUAAUAACAUGGGGAUGAGGUAGUCGGGUGUGCUAUUUACAGAUGGGCUGUGUAGAGGUAGUGAUCGGUAAGCUGCUCUGACAGCUGAUGCUUAAAGUUAGAGGGGGAGAUAUAAGACUACAGCUUCGGUGAUUUAUGCAGUUUGUUCCAGUCAUUGGCAGCAGAGAACUGGAAGGAAAGGCGACCAAAAGAAGUGUUGGCUUUGAGGGUGACCAGUGAAAUAUAUCUGCUGGAACGCGUGCUACGGGUGGGUGCUGCUAUGGUGACCAGUGAGCUGAGAUAAG